AGUGAACGCUGGCGGUAGGCCUAACACAUGCAAGUCGAACGGCAGCACCGUAAGAGCUUGCUCUUACGGGUGGCGAGUGGCGGACGGGUGAGGAAUACAUCGGAAUCUACUUUUUCGUGGGGGAUAACGUAGGGAAACUUACGCUAAUACCGCAUACGACCUACGGGUGAAAGCAGGGGAUCUUCGGACCUUGCGCGAUUGAAUGAGCCGAUGUCGGAUUAGCUAGUUGGCGGGGUAAAGGCCCACCAAGGCGACGAUCCGUAGCUGGUCUGAGAGGAUGAUCAGCCACACUGGAACUGAGACACGGUCCAGACUCCUACGGGAGGCAGCAGUGGGGAAUAUUGGACAAUGGGCGCAAGCCUGAUCCAGCCAUACCGCGUGGGUGAAGAGGGCCUUCGGGUUGUAAAGCCCUUUUGUUGGGAAAGAAAAGCAGCAGGUUAAUACCCCGCUGUUCUGACGGUACCCAAAGAAUAAGCACCGGCUAACUUCGUG
RNAcentral lists this ribosomal RNA (492 nucleotides) under uncultured bacterium. RNAcentral describes it as "partial 16S ribosomal RNA". It matches the Rfam family "Bacterial small subunit ribosomal RNA", at positions 29 to 507 of the family's 1533-position model. The record is from RNAcentral.